Molecule: ribosomal RNA, 473 nt
Filed under: Pseudomonas sp. oral taxon B99
Lineage: Bacteria; Pseudomonadati; Pseudomonadota; Gammaproteobacteria; Pseudomonadales; Pseudomonadaceae
Description: bacterial SSU rRNA
Rfam family: Bacterial small subunit ribosomal RNA
Source: RNAcentral
AUUGAACGCUGGCGGCAGGCCUAACACAUGCAAGUCGAGCGGUAGAGAGAAGCUUGCUUCUCUUGAGAGCGGCGGACGGGUGAGUAAUACCUAGGAAUCUGCCUGAUAGUGGGGGAUAACGUUCGGAAACGGACGCUAAUACCGCAUACGUCCUACGGGAGAAAGCAGGGGACCUUCGGGCCUUGCGCUAUCAGAUGAGCCUAGGUCGGAUUAGCUAGUUGGUGAGGUAAUGGCUCACCAAGGCUACGAUCCGUAACUGGUCUGAGAGGAUGAUCAGUCACACUGGAACUGAGACACGGUCCAGACUCCUACGGGAGGCAGCAGUGGGGAAUAUUGGACAAUGGGCGAAAGCCUGAUCCAGCCAUGCCGCGUGUGUGAAGAAGGUCUUCGGAUUGUAAAGCACUUUAAGUUGGGAGGAAGGGCAGUUACCUAAUACGUGAUUGUCUUGACGUACCGACAGAAUAAGCACCGCA